CGUAAAUUCUACCAUCGAAUAUAUAGUUUCAUACAAAAUGCUUCAACACAGGUGCAGUGCGUCUUUGUUUUAAAAUAUAUACGAACGUUGCUACAUAUCAUGUUAGCCCUUUAUCGGAGCUUCUAGAAACUGAAUGAAGUUAUUCAAUAAUGCAUAUUACCCAUUGUGUUGCGUGUGAAAAAGGCGUGCAUUGACGUUUUCUACGAAGAAAAGUUAUGACUGUUCCAUCUCUAUGCACGGAUUUACGUGGGAGCGAAUUAGUUUGUCACCGCCUGUCCGAUGCAAAGAAAAAAUCUCGAUGAUUUGCUAUGAGUAAUAGAUGCCAUAAACAAGUUCAAUACGUACGGUAACAAGAUUGUACAAGCAGAGACCAGACCAGGAUGACGAAAAUUGACUCCUUUGCGGAAACCCAGCAGAAAGCAGGCACAGCAGAAUGUGUUUAACUUGUGGUUUAGCAGAAAGGCGUUGAGGCACAACGGCUACGUGUGGGUCACGUCUGGCCCGGGACGAGCAAAGUAGUAACCAGUACGUGUUUCGACCGGCCCUUCUUAUACCCUCAUCUUUAUUCCGCCUGCACCUUCGAACUAUGCUAGCGGAAGGAGCUAGUAGCAAGCCCUAUUACAGACAACGACCGUCUACUGAGUUGGGCAAUAAGAGAAACGGUGUUCUUUUUGGAAUGUAUUCUCCCACGAUUAGACAGUAUAAAAAGCAUGACUACCAGCAACGCCACAGAUACUUUACAAACAUCAUCAGCGUAAUUGGCCUUAGAUCAAAACUAAUGCUGUCUCUGCUGAAACCUUGUCGCAGGACACACACACUGGAUGUUUGGAUAAGAACGGAAUAAGAUGGGUGUUGUUUGUUUAUAAGCCGCAAUCUAAAUGAAAACAAAUGUUUGGACGGGAUGUUGUAUGUGGAUAGAGACACGCCUAAAUUCGUGAAGAAUAUUUGGAACGUGAACCGUGGCUAAAUGGCCUCUGUAUGUCUAUACUCAGCCAUGCUGCACACAAUAAACCAAAAAGGGCCAAUCCAACGGCACCUAGCGACGAUCGCCACGAGCUUAGAUAGUAACAACGGUCGUCGUGCUUCUACUAUACAGUCGCCCAAUGCACUCCACUUGCUGGCAGUCAGCUUCCACGAGGUCUUUACAUUCAUACUGAACUCCCGUCACUACGUGGCCGCUCCUAUUGCAACCAAACACUAUGAAAAACAAGCAAUACUAGGAAUGUGAAGGAGCAAGGUUAUAGGCCGCCGGACGUGUGCGCGUACCAUGGGGAACAAAGAGCCUGUCGCAUACCAUAGUCGGUUUGUGGCUAUAAUAACUGCUAGAGCUUUUGGAGCCUUCUCGCGAAGUAUAUUCGCUAUGCUGAACGCCGAUGUUAGCUGCUUACUUGAGGUUGACAGCUUGUCUCUGCAGGGCCUCGUCGCUUCGGCACAGGCACUGCGUGACGCUACGAAGCGAUGAAGGAGAAGACGCAUGGACCCCGAACGAUGAUAUACUUCGGCUUUCUAUUCAGACACACAUACACAAAGAUACAGGACCCGAACGCACGACUGGAAUUUUGCCGUCGACGUCGACGACGACGACGACUGCUGGAAAUGAGACAGUCACACUUUCUUAUAAAGCGGCCAGUUUACAUUGGAGUGGCUAUUUGCAAAACUCAUUGGUUCACGCCGCAGGUUUCGGGGCUUUUCUUCCCGAAAAAGUGAUCAGUUGUCAUGGAGAUCCGCGUACAGCUCUUCAAACAAAGCGGACAUCUGGCAAAAUUAUGACAAGGAUCACGCUACCUUACAAAAUUGGCAAUUAGGGCAUCACGACGUAAAUCCGUCUGACAAAGAAGAAUCUAAGGAUCAACAUACCCUUGAGCGGGCAGGAAGCGGAUGUCAUGGUGUCAUCAUGCACGCAGUAAAGGAUUGUCCAGACUCAGCUGUAAUCCUGCCUCGUUUCAAUGGGCUGGGUUAAAGCAGGGAGAAACCCGUCAGCUUAGAGUUACUUCCAGCCAGUAGUGGUUGUAGAACAAAGCUGCUUAAGGGGGGGCAAAUCAAAUGAAUGUUUCUGAUUAAUACAAUAAUAGCACAGAAACGAACGGACGACCGUCGGCUACAGGCUGGUCGUGCCACUAGACUCGUUGAGAAAAGCCAGUGGAAAAGUCAGGGUAAUCACGGAGGAAACAAGCCUUGAACUGCAUUCGCAAGUUACUGUAACUACGGCUAGCAACCAUAUGUAUAUAUAUGACGAAGUCAACUUACGUAUCUUAAAGAAAUGUAAGAUUUGGCAGAUAGGAAAUGUGUUAAAUUAUCCACGUGUGAGACGUACGAAGUACGAAAUCGUAGUUGUAUAUAAUAUGCAUUAGAAAUAUCGAGCACAACGCAUUGUUUACGCGCUGUUAAUUACUAUAUAUAUAUAUAUGAGUAAACUUUUUAAACAAUGUAUUUAAUUGAACCAGAGCUACGAGAAGUCGGAAAGAGCUCAAAAAAGCGGCAUAAGUCAGCGAACGAAGACAAUAAGAUAUGUCUAGGUAGAAGAAAAGCAUUUACUCAGACAUUUGUUAAAUUUAUUCAACCGAAUUGGAGAUUUUAUAGUGGUAUUAACUAUGGCGAGCUAGCUAAACUUUGUGCAAGCGAAAACUGUACCUUAUAUGAACUUGAAUGUUUGCGUUCUAUUUAGUAACCAGCUACCCUUUCAACUUGGUCAUUUUGCCAGGGCAGUGAAAAACCUUUAGGUUGUUUCCAUGUUUGCCUCGCACGACAGCAGCGACAAAGAGGACCAAUGAGCAAUCUGUUCUACUCUAAGGGGAUUUGAUGUCUGUGGUGGCAUGAGCUCUAAACGAGUCGGGCCAUGCUUGUUUAAAGUGGGCUAGUAGCUUUCACAGAAGGCCUGCGCAAAGGUCUAAACUAGACAUUGAACGUUGUCUCUUUAUUCAUCUACCUCUGGCUAACUGAAUUUGAGUGUAUGAGUAACUUCCGGUGGGCGCAUGAUCGUCUGUGAUCAGCUGCGUUCUUUCCAAGGAGAAUUAGAACCAACCCUGAUGAGACACAGGCUGGGCAGCCGACCAAACAUGCUCCUGCUUCUAAUAUAGUAUCACAACCAGCAUCACUACUACCGCCGAUGGACAAGCAAAGACCAGGAUGCAAGCAGGACAUUGCAGGACGAAGGAGCGGAAACAGGAAAGGUUUACACUGCCACUUGCCUUGAAAUUAGUUAAGUAAGUGAAUAUGCUGUGUUAGUUAAGGCUUUGUCUUAUCGUCGAGUCUUUAUCGUGCCCGAUAUCACUUUUUGAUGGGGAUUCAGUAAGACAAACGUUAACAUAUUGGGGGCUAGCAAACAUAACACGAAAUCGCCAACUGUAUUACAACUGAUGAUCAGCGAACGCGAUCGAUAUUCAAGUCGAAGAAGUUCUAGAACGUGAUUGUUUAUUGACAAAAACAGCGUUGUGAAAAUCUUCUCGUUGACCCCUUCAAAAACGCACUGAUAAACUUCGAACCUUGUGAAAACUGUAGUCGUUUAAUAAACAAUCCAUAACUUAAUAAACAAAAAUAAGCUAGUUUCAUAAACAACAGAACCUACUUCU
This is a long non-coding RNA of Varroa destructor (honeybee mite), 3569 nucleotides long. NCBI's taxonomy places the organism in Eukaryota, Metazoa, Arthropoda, Arachnida, Mesostigmata, Varroidae. The record is from RefSeq and is a predicted model, not a curated record.